AAUAAAAAUAAAAAUAGCAAAUAUAAUUUAGGCAUAGAACAUUCCUGAACUAAUUUAAUUGCAUAUUUCUUUAAAGCAGACAACCACCUGGAAGGAGUCGUAACAGCAAGAGCAAAUCGAUUUUGGCUAUACGCAUGUCCUGCUUUACCGGCCUACAGAUUACAUGUGUAACGUAUAAUCAAUCACACUAUGUGGAGUGUGCACAUAUCCCUCCAUCUUUUAUUAACCCUUAUUUCUCUCCUGAAGACAUUUUCAUAUAUCUCAACAUGUGUCAUCAAGUCAAAAGAGAAAGGAUGAAUGCACUAAAUGAAUGUUAUUACAUGUACUGCUAAAAAUAAUCACCAAAUCAUAAAUGGUAAAAAGAAAAAAGAAGAAGAAAACCAAACAGACGCAACAAAAUACCCUCCUAUCCAAAGAAGUUAUAUCUCUUGGUGGCAUUUCAAUUAAAACAAAAUCUACCCAAGAGAACCAGAGAGUAUUCUUACAGGAAUUUAGAAACACCCUCUUGCCUGAGGACAUAUCAUCUGAUACUGAGGAUGGAGUGCUCAACCUUAGAAUAUCUCCAACAUUAACCUUGCAUGAACUCAGUCACAAGACAGGAGCUCAUAGUCCUUUACACAUCUUGGAACCACUCCAGCAAGGAGAAGAGUCACCCUUCCAGGAGAAAAACAAUAAAUAUCUUCAGUCCCUUUUACCUUCAAAGAGAGACUACUGUAUUGGUUAAGAAUAUAAACUUCGAAUUCAUGAACUGGAUUCAAAUGGUGGUUCUACCAUUUUUAGGGUGGAACUUUGGACAACUCACACUUCUUGAGGUUCUUUCCUCAUUUGUCAUAUAGGAUUAAUAAUAUUUAGUUCUUACCCUGAAGACUAAGUGGUAUUAAGAAUGAAAAAAUCUGAGUUGAAUGCUUGGACAUUAUAGGCAUUAAAUAAUUGUGUUUUUUUUGUCCUGGGAAGC
This is a long non-coding RNA of Felis catus (domestic cat), 955 nucleotides long. RefSeq lists it as uncharacterized. NCBI's taxonomy places the organism in Eukaryota, Metazoa, Chordata, Mammalia, Carnivora, Felidae. The transcript has 4 exons. The record is from RefSeq and is a predicted model, not a curated record.